UCACGCUGUAAACGAUGUCGAUUUGGAGGUUGUUCCCUUGAGGAGUGGCUUCCGGAGCUAACGCGUUAAAUCGACCGCUGGGGAGUACGGCCGCAAGGUUAAAACUCAAAUGAAUUGACGGGGGCCCGCACAGCGGUGGAGCAUGUGGUUUAUUCGAUGCAACGCGAAGAACCUUACCUACUCUUGACAUCCAGAGAAUUUAGCAGAGAUGCUUUAGUGCCUUCGGGAACUCUGAGACAGGUGCUGCAUGGCUGUCGUCAGCUCGUGUUGUGAAAUGUUGGGUUAAGUCCCGCAACGAGCGCAACCCUUAUCCUUUGUUGCCAGCACAUUAUGGUGGGAACUCAAAGGAGACUGCCGGUGAUAAACCGGAGGAAGGUGGGGAUGACGUCAAGUCAUCAUGGCCCUUACGAGUAGGGCUACACACGUGCUACAAUGGCGUAUACAAAGAGAAGCGACCUCGCGAGAGCAAGCGGAACUCAUAAAGUACGUCGUAGUCCGGAUUGGAGUCUGCAACUCGACUCCAUGAAGUCGGAAUCGCUAGUAAUCGUAGAUCAGAAUGCUACGGUGAAUACGUUCCCGGGCCUUGUACACACCGCCCGUCACACCAUGGGAGUGGGUUGCAAAAGAAGUAGGUAGCUUAACCUUCGGGAGGGCGCUUACCACUUUGUGAUUCAUGACUGGGGUGAAGUCGUAACAAGGUAACCA
Molecule: ribosomal RNA, 705 nt
Filed under: uncultured Providencia sp.
Lineage: Bacteria; Pseudomonadati; Pseudomonadota; Gammaproteobacteria; Enterobacterales; Morganellaceae
Description: bacterial SSU rRNA
Rfam family: Bacterial small subunit ribosomal RNA
Source: RNAcentral